RNAcentral lists this ribosomal RNA (115 nucleotides) under alpha proteobacterium HIMB5. Lineage: Bacteria; Pseudomonadati; Pseudomonadota; Alphaproteobacteria; Candidatus Pelagibacterales; Candidatus Pelagibacteraceae. The record is from RNAcentral.
GCCGGUGAUUAUUGCGAAAGUGUUAUACCCGACCCCAUUCCGAACUCGGAAGUCAAGCCUUUCAGCGCCGAUGGUACUUUGUCUUAAGAUAUGGAAGAGUAGGACGUCGCCGGCA